GAAAAACAGCACCAAGCAGGAGAUCCUGGCUGCUCUUGAGAAAGGCUGCAGCUUCCUGCCAGACCCUUACCAGAAGCAGUGUGAUCAGUUUGUGGCAGAGUACGAGCCCGUGCUGAUCGAGAUCCUGGUGGAGGUGAUGGAUCCUUCCUUCGUGUGCUUGAAAAUUGGAGCCUGCCCCUCGGCCCAUAAGCCCUUGUUGGGAACUGAGAAGUGUAUAUGGGGCCCAAGCUACUGGUGCCAGAACACAGAGACAGCAGCCCAGCUGUCGAGCAUUGCAAACGCCAUGUGUGGAACUAGGAGGAGGAAUAUUCCAUCUUGGCAGAAACCACAGCAUUGGUUUUUUUCUACUUGUGUGUCUGGGGGAAUGAACGCACAGAUCUGUUUGACUUUGUUAUAAAAAUAGGGCUCCCCCACCUCCCCCAUUUCUGUGUCCUUUAUUGUAGCAUUGCUGUCUGCAAGGGAGCCCCUAGCCCCUGGCAGACAUAGCUGCUUCAGUGCCCCUUUUCUCUCUGCUAGAUGGAUGUUGAUGCACUGGAGGUCUUUUAGCCUGCCCUUGCAUGGCGCCUGCUGGAGGAGGAGAGAGCUCUGCUGGCAUGAGCCACAGUUUCUUGACUGGAGGCCAUCAACCCUCUUGGUUGAGGCCUUGUUCUGAGCCCUGACAUGUGCUUGGGCACUGGUGGGCCUGGGCUUCUGAGGUGGCCUCCUGCCCUGAUCAGGGACCCUCCCCGCUUUCCUGGGCCUCUCAGUUGAACAAAGCAGCAAAACAAAGGCAGUUUUAUAUGAAAGAUUAGAAGCCUGGAAUAAUCAGGCUUUUUAAAUGAUGUAAUUCCCACUGUAAUAGCAUAGGGAUUUUGGAAGCAGCUGCUGGUGGCUUGGGACAUCAGUGGGGCCAAGGGUUCUCUGUCCCUGGUUCAACUGUGAUUUGGCUUUCCCGUGUCUUUCCUGGUGAUGCCUUGUUUGGGGUUCUGUGGGUUUGGGUGGGAAGAGGGCCAUCUGCCUGAAUGUAACCUGCUAGCUCUCCGAAGGCCCUGCGGGCCUGGCUUGUGUGAGCGUGUGGACAGUGGUGGCCGCGCUGUGCCUGCUCGUGUUGCCUACAUGUCCCUGGCUGUUGAGGCGCUGCUUCAGCCUGCACCCCUCCCUUGUCUCAUAGAUGCUCCUUUUGACCUUUUCAAAUAAAUAUGGAUGGCGAGCUCCUAGGCCUCUGGCUUCCUGGUAGAGGGCGGCAUGCCGAAGGGUCUGCUGGGUGUGGAUUGGAUGCUGGGGUGUGGGGGUUGGAAGCUGUCUGUGGCCCACUUGGGCACCCACGCUUCUGUCCACUUCUGGUUGCCAGGAGACAGCAAGCAAAGCCAGCAGGACAUGAAGUUGCUAUUAAAUGGACUUCGUGAUUUUUGUUUUGCACUAAAGUUUCUGUGAUUUAACAAUAAAAUUCUGUUAGCCAG
RNAcentral lists this long non-coding RNA (1439 nucleotides) under Homo sapiens (human). RNAcentral describes it as "long non-coding RNA NONHSAT157135.1". Lineage: Eukaryota; Metazoa; Chordata; Mammalia; Primates; Hominidae. The record is from RNAcentral.